Molecule: ribosomal RNA, 438 nt
Filed under: Triticum aestivum (bread wheat)
Lineage: Eukaryota; Viridiplantae; Streptophyta; Magnoliopsida; Poales; Poaceae
Description: partial small subunit ribosomal RNA
Source: RNAcentral
AUGGUGCUACGCAGUUGUGGUGGGCGCCGGAAACCCUACCUGUUGGAGCGCGGCCAUGGCGACCGACCGCAAGCGCAGGACUUGGACUUGGACAACGGUGGUAUGGUAGGCGUCAUGGAGUGGAGCUUGCUCUGUCCUGGCGCCAUGGAUUCUUUUUCGCGUGAAGCUCUUUCUUCCUCCAGCACAAGAAUGUACAAGCAACAUCCAAGGACGGACCCGGCGGAAAACCCAUGGUGCCAUCUGCGUGCUAAUUUGUCGAGCUUUCCUUUUGAUUUCACGGGUGCCCAGAAUUUGAAAAAGAUGAAGCGUAGAAGCAAAAUCGGAAAAGAAAUCAUUGCUGCGGAGAAGGUGGUGCUGGGGAUCUUGAAGACGGUGAAGAACCCGCGCAGCGCCGUGCUCAAGACCUCUAUGAUGGCCAUUCAUGCUUCGCAAAGCUAA